RNAcentral lists this ribosomal RNA (1216 nucleotides) under Gnomonia cf. rosae BPI 877452B. RNAcentral's name for it is "eukaryotic LSU rRNA". It matches the Rfam family "Eukaryotic large subunit ribosomal RNA", at positions 131 to 1373 of the family's 3401-position model. The record is from RNAcentral. Lineage: Eukaryota; Fungi; Ascomycota; Sordariomycetes; Diaporthales; Gnomoniaceae.
CUUCGGCCCGAGUUGUAAUUUGCAGAGGAUGUUUAUGGUGCGGUACCUUCCGAGUUCCCUGGAACGGGACGCCACAGAGGGUGAGAGCCCCGUCUGGUUGGAUACCAAACCUGUGUUAAACUCCUUCAACGAGUCGAGUAGUUUGGGAAUGCUGCUCUAAAUGGGAGGUAAAUCUCUUCUAAAGCUAAAUAUUGGCCAGAGACCGAUAGCGCACAAGUAGAGUGAUCGAAAGAUGAAAAGCACCUUGAAAAGGGGGUUAAACAGUACGUGAAAUUGUUGAAAGGGAAGCGUUUAUGACCAGACUUGUGUCGUGUGGCUCAUCCGAGGUUCUCCCCGGUGCACUCCACACGGCUCAGGCCAACAUCGGUUUUCGCUGGGGGACAAGAACAGUAGGAACGUAGCUCCCCUCGGGGAGUGUUAUAGCCUAUUGUACGAUACCCUGGCGGGGACCGAGGACCGCGCUUCGGCUAGGAUGUUGGCGUAAUGGUCAUUAGCGACCCGUCUUGAAACACGGACCAAGGAGUCGUCCAUUAGAGCGAGCGUUUGGGUGUAAAACCCGCACGCGUAAUGAAAGUGAAAUUAGGUGAGAGCUUCGGCGCAUCAUCGACCGAUCCUGAAGUUUACGGAUGGAUUUGAGUAAGAGUUUUAACGGACGGACCCGAAAGACAGUGAACUAUGCUUGAAUAGGGUGAAGCCAGAGGAAACUCUGGUGGAGGCUCGCAGCGGUUCUGACGUGCAAAUCGAUCGUCAAAUUUGAGCAUGGGGGCGAAAGACUAAUCGAACUGUCUAGUAGCUGGUUACCGCCGAAGUUUCCCUCAGGAUAGCAGUGUUGACCUUCAGUUUUAUGAGGUAAAGCGAAUGAUUAGGGACUCGGGGGCGCUUAUUAGCCUUCAUCCAUUCUCAAACUUUAAAUAUGUAAGAAGCCCUUGUUACUUAAUUGAACGUGGGCAUUCGAAUGUACCAACACUAGUGGGCCAUUUUUGGUAAGCAGAACUGGCGAUGCGGGAUGAACCGAACGGGGGGUUAAGGCGCCAGAAUGUACGCUCAUCAGACACCACAAAAGGCGUUAGUACAUCUUGACAGCAGGACGGUGGCCAUGGAAGUCGGAAUCCGCUAAGGACUGUGUAACAACUCACCUGCCGAAUGUACUAGCCCUGAAAAUGGAUGGCGCUCAAGCGUACUGCCCAUACCCCCCCUUCAGGGUAGAAACGAUGCC